RNAcentral lists this non-coding RNA (30 nucleotides) under Homo sapiens (human). Lineage: Eukaryota; Metazoa; Chordata; Mammalia; Primates; Hominidae. The record is from RNAcentral.
UGGCCACAGUUGUUGACUAAACUCUUCAUU